RNAcentral lists this ribosomal RNA (500 nucleotides) under Fusarium denticulatum. Its description in RNAcentral is "eukaryotic LSU rRNA". The stretch from base 147 to 300 matches the Rfam family "5.8S ribosomal RNA". The record is from RNAcentral. Lineage: Eukaryota; Fungi; Ascomycota; Sordariomycetes; Hypocreales; Nectriaceae.
GAGUUUACAACUCCCAAACCCCUGUGAACAUACCAAUUGUUGCCUCGGCGGAUCAGCCCGCUCCCGGUAAAACGGGACGGCCCGCCAGAGGACCCCUAAACUCUGUUUCUAUAUGUAACUUCUGAGUAAAACCAUAAAUAAAUCAAAACUUUCAACAACGGAUCUCUUGGUUCUGGCAUCGAUGAAGAACGCAGCAAAAUGCGAUAAGUAAUGUGAAUUGCAGAAUUCAGUGAAUCAUCGAAUCUUUGAACGCACAUUGCGCCCGCCAGUAUUCUGGCGGGCAUGCCUGUUCGAGCGUCAUUUCAACCCUCAAGCCCAGCUUGGUGUUGGGACUCGCGAGUCAAAUCGCGUUCCCCAAAUUGAUUGGCGGUCACGUCGAGCUUCCAUAGCGUAGUAGUAAAACCCUCGUUACUGGUAAUCGUCGCGGCCACGCCGUUAAACCCCAACUUCUGAAUGUUGACCUCGGAUCAGGUAGGAAUACCCGCUGAACUUAAGCAUAU